This 465-nucleotide ribosomal RNA is filed under the name Vreelandella stevensii. Its description in RNAcentral is "partial 16S ribosomal RNA". It matches the Rfam family "Bacterial small subunit ribosomal RNA", at positions 338 to 795 of the family's 1533-position model. Lineage: Bacteria; Pseudomonadati; Pseudomonadota; Gammaproteobacteria; Oceanospirillales; Halomonadaceae. The record is from RNAcentral.
CCUACGGGGGGCAGCAGUGGGGAAUAUUGGACAAUGGGCGAAAGCCUGAUCCAGCCAUGCCGCGUGUGUGAAGAAGGCCUUCGGGUUGUAAAGCACUUUCAGUGGGGAAGAAAGCCUUGGGGCUAAUACCCUCGAGGAAGGACAUCACCCACAGAAGAAGCACCGGCUAACUCCGUGCCAGCAGCCGCGGUAAUACGGAGGGUGCGAGCGUUAAUCGGAAUUACUGGGCGUAAAGCGCGCGUAGGCGGUCUGAUAAGCCGGUUGUGAAAGCCCCGGGCUCAACCUGGGAACGGCAUCCGGAACUGUCAGGCUAGAGUGCAGGCGAGGAAGGUAGAAUUCCCGGUGUAGCGGUGAAAUGCGUAGAGAUCGGGAGGAAUACCAGUGGCGAAGGCGGCCUUCUGGACUGACACUGACGCUGAGGUGCGAAAGCGUGGGUAGCAAACAGGAUUAGAUACCCUAGUAGUC